UUAUCUAUUCUUUUCUCCUCACUUCUUCUUCAGUUUCUCUUUGUUUCUUCUUUCUUCGUCUCUUUCUUUCUCUUCGUGUUCUUCUUCUUCUGCGAGUUUCAGAGAAUCGAAUGGAAGUUUUGUGAUCAACAGAAGGUGGAGAAGAUCAUGCAGUGGUCGUCGGUGAUGGUGAUGGUGUCUGUGGUGGAUCCAAAUUCGAUUGAGGAAGAGAUUUAGAAGCUAGGGUUUCUACCAAAAGCUCAGAGAAGAAUUAAGAGAGGGAAUUAGUGUUCUAGGAGGAGGAAUUGAAAUAGGUUUAUGUCUAAUUUGGUUAUGAAGUUGAUUCAGUGAAGAAUUUAGGGGUUAGGGUUUCUGCAUGUUGUAUUGGAAUUCACUUUGAGUGAGAAUUAAGAAGAUAGAGAUGGAAUUACAAGAUGGGUUUGCUUAAUUGAACAGUUAAUUGAUGUUUUGGGUUUGAAUUAUAGAUUGAAGACAGUUAGGUUUUAUGUAUUCUUCCCCAAAUUAUAAUUAGGGUUUCAGUGAUGAGAAUUGGGGCGUGUUGAUGCUAAUGAUUCAAGAUGGAGAAGACGAUGAUUGUGGAAGUAACAGAUGGGUUUUGGUGUUGAUUCAAGUUGUAAGAAACUAGCAGAGAAAGAUUAUCCAGCCGCACGAGAUUUGGAUUUCACUUGAGGUGGUAAUGGGUGAAAAUGAAUGGUAUCACUGAGCAUGUAAUUGGGGAGUUUUCAUGAUUGCAGGUGCAGGUAAUAUGAAUGUAUAUGUUGGUAGUUUAGAUGAGUUGAAAUGCAAGCUGAGAUGUUAUUGAGUCAUGAGAUGAUCCCGCAGGUGGCUGUAAUUGGGUAUGUUGGUGGUCUGUUAUUGAAUUGUAGCUAAGUUUUUCUCAGACUUGCAGGGGAGUUGGAUGAAUGGAUUAGGAAUUGUAUGUAGUAGAUGAGAGCAAUGAAGGAUAAUUGCAGGAUGGUUAAAGUUGUAGGGUUUCAGUUAGAAAUGGAAGGAACAUAUGGAUGCAAGUUACAGGCAGAAGAUUUGGUUAUUAUUGGUGGUGUAAGUGGUGGCAGAUCCAUGAACUUGUUGUGUUUAGCUGCAAUAGCAGUUGGUAUAUGAGGUGUAGAAAAUAAGAUGAACUGAGUUGUUGUGGUUAAAUUAGAUUGAGAUAGAUAUAUGUAGUUGUGAAGAAUAUUUGUCAUUGUUGGAUGAUAGAGCUCAACUUGGUGGUGCUGUAAUAUGCAAAGGAAAGGAUGGAGAUGGAUGUUUUGGCAUGAGAAUGUGCUGAUGUUGUGAGAGCUGAUAUGGGUUAUGAUGAUGAAAAGGAAAUUAGUAUUACACUGUUAGUGGUUAGGGUAUGGAGUUCGAAAUUAGACUGUAGAGUUCAGUUUAGUGGUGGUGUUACUUCACUUGAAUUUGGAUGUUACCUAAAGCUGCAAUUGCAGGUAAACUCAGUUUAUUGUUGUAAUUAAAUUAUGAAGUUUGUUUAUGUUUGAAUGAACUGAGGUAAUGUAUAGUUUGAGGUUGAACUGGGAUUUGAGUUAUUAUUUGUGUGAGAA
Long non-coding RNA from Papaver somniferum (opium poppy), 1541 nucleotides. RefSeq lists it as uncharacterized. The transcript has 2 exons. NCBI's taxonomy places the organism in Eukaryota, Viridiplantae, Streptophyta, Magnoliopsida, Ranunculales, Papaveraceae. The record is from RefSeq and is a predicted model, not a curated record.